GGAAUUGUGCCUGAACAUAGGGCCACUUUGAUAGAGUGUAUUAUGAGGGUUAAAAUCCCUCCGACUCCU
RNAcentral lists this transfer RNA (69 nucleotides) under Cetostoma regani (pink flabby whalefish). RNAcentral's name for it is "tRNA-Ile". It matches the Rfam family "tRNA". From Rfam's summary of the family: Transfer RNA (tRNA) molecules are approximately 80 nucleotides in length. Their secondary structure includes four short double-helical elements and three loops (D, anti-codon, and T loops). Further hydrogen bonds mediate the characteristic L-shaped molecular structure. tRNAs have two regions of fundamental functional importance: the anti-codon, which is responsible for specific mRNA codon recognition, and the 3' end, to which the tRNAs corresponding amino acid is attached (by aminoacyl-tRNA synthetases). tRNAs cope with the degeneracy of the genetic code in two manners: having more than one tRNA (with a specific anti-codon) for a particular amino acid; and 'wobble' base-pairing, i.e. permitting non-standard base-pairing at the 3rd anti-codon position. Lineage: Eukaryota; Metazoa; Chordata; Actinopteri; Beryciformes; Cetomimidae. The record is from RNAcentral.